CUGGCCGGUCACGUGGGGCCGGUACAAAAGGCCAAAGCCAAAGUGGGAGGAGGACUGGAGGGGUUGGAGGCCUGCGGCCGGGGGCUCCAGCUCGCCCUUGUUGCGAGGUUCGGCCGGGCGGAUACCCGGGCGAAGAAGCUGCUGUCUCCCCAUUACACAGCUGGGGAAGCUGAGGGCAGCGCCCGGGUGGGGAGGCUUCAGUGCGGCGCGGAAAUCCGCCCUUUGCAGGAAAAAGAGCAGGUGCGAUGAGAGGGGAGAAGGACAGAAAGUUGGACACCUCAUGGGGCCCUCUCGUCAGAAUGACCUCAUUCCCACUCCGAGAGACUUGUUGGACUUUUUGUUGAGCCAUUUUUGUGAAGAACCACGUAGGCUCGGUGCUGAGACUCGCACAAGGUCACACAGCUGUUGGGUGGCACACAUCUGAGUUUGGAGCCUCGAAGUGUCUCAUUCCGUCGCCUGUCUUCUGCUGCUGCCCUUCGCAGAGUUGCUCUUGUCAGAAUUUAUGGCUGAACUGCGAACGGGCACCUUUCAUGGCCUGUCUGUCCAAUACUGGCUGCAUGGA
This is a long non-coding RNA of Phacochoerus africanus (Common warthog), 562 nucleotides long. RefSeq lists it as uncharacterized. The record is from RefSeq and is a predicted model, not a curated record. Lineage: Eukaryota; Metazoa; Chordata; Mammalia; Artiodactyla; Suidae. The transcript is spliced from 2 exons.